RNAcentral lists this ribosomal RNA (228 nucleotides) under uncultured bacterium. RNAcentral describes it as "partial 16S ribosomal RNA". It matches the Rfam family "Bacterial small subunit ribosomal RNA", at positions 568 to 795 of the family's 1533-position model. The record is from RNAcentral.
UCCGUAGGCGGUUUAAUAAGUCAGUGGUGAAAUCUGGUCGCUUAACGAUCAAACGGCCAUUGAUACUGUUAGACUUGAAUUACUAGGAAGUAACUAGAAUAUGUAGUGUAGCGGUGAAAUGCUUAGAUAUUACAUGGAAUACCAAUUGCGAAGGCAGGUUACUACUAGUGGAUUGACGCUGAUGGACGAAAGCGUGGGGAGCGAACAGGAUUAGAUACCCUGGUAGUC